This 3264-nucleotide long non-coding RNA is filed under the name Gallus gallus (chicken). The record is from RNAcentral. Lineage: Eukaryota; Metazoa; Chordata; Aves; Galliformes; Phasianidae.
CCGACCCGGUCCGGCGACCGGCCCCGCUCCACGGCGGGCAGCCCGAUAGGCACAGGGAGCGAGGACCGGGAGCUGGAUGGCGGUGUGGAGGCCUGAGGCGAAGGCUAAGCCUGCCCCUCCCCGGGCCGCCUUCAGCGAGCUUCGGCGCGGGUCUCCGCGUUGAGAGAAGUGAUGAGUCAGGUUUGCUCGGCUCCAUGCUAAUGCACGGAGAUGGAGGGUGUAAUUAGUAGAGAGGCAGGGCUGUGAUCUGCAGCGCGGGGCGGCCGGGCCACGCACCUCCUCUGUGCUUCAGAGCGUCGCUGAAGUUCUCCUUGUUUCGUGCUCCUCCAGCCCCAACGGUGUAUAUGCAGGGUUUGGUGGGAGCAGAGCCACAGACGUCGGAAGGUGUCUGUGUGUGAAGCACCCCGCGUUAUGUAAUUCUGAUGUUGAAAGAUGACGGUAAGAAGGAUUUGAUUUAGUCAUGGAAACUGAAUAUUGCGGCUCCCCAAAUCUCUAAGAAGUCUUAGGAUGUUGCAUACAGCGUUCUCAAGGUUUCUCCCGUCCAAGUAAUUGUAAAUGGCCCGCUUGAGAGCUGUGAUCUGCUUUAUAUGCUUUCAUCCAUUAGAAUACCUCUUGUCUUUGCAAAACGACACAUUGUGUAAUUUAGGCAACUGGCUGGGCUAAGAAGGGCACAAUGAAGUGAGUAAUUUACAUCUCUUAGGGAGAUUAAUUGAACCCAGCUCUGGUCGUCUUCAAGAACUACUGAGAAGUUUCUCGGCAAACUUCUCCACCCGAAGUAAAAUCACAGCCUCCGCCACCUUGCCCCUUCCAGCAGCUUCUGAAGGAAUCUUCACCUCAAACAGAGCUGUCAGCAGCAGUGAGGGCUGCCACUCACCAGUCAUUUCAAUGCGGAAAGCACUCGAGACACAGCAACAGGCAACAGAACGCAGCGCUCACAGAGAAACAAAUUGACAAGUACCCACGACUGGACAUCCUCAGAAACACGGUUGUGUCCUGUUCCUCUCCACUGCAGUUAUUCCCACUCAGAGUGACCACUUCAGAGCUUUAACAAAGCCCAUUACAAACGGGAACAUUUUCCGUUAGCCAAGUUGUCAGUGCAAGCAGGGUUUUCUCAGAAGGUACCCACAAGAAGCAAUUAGACGUGUGAGCAAAGGCAGUCAGCACAUGGGAUCCUCCCCAGCGAAACAGGCUCAGCGCUGAAGGCUCGUCUGCAUGGCAUGUUUCUUCUUUCAUCGAACACCAGCAAAAUGCCAGGAACAUUCCUGGACAGGAGAAAUCUUGAAUUCUGCAAUUCAGCCUUAAAGAAACACUCCUCUGGGGAACUGCCCAACUGCCUGAUGGAAAUGAGUGACUCCUGUAUGCAGAUCUGCCUUCGAAGACUCUGACCUAUUUCAGCCCAGCUUUGCAGAACACACAAGCUCUAUUUAUGAUGCUGCAGGAAGGGAAAGGCAGGGUGCAAGCAAUGCACCUUGCUCUGCUGGGAAAGAGCUGGCAGCCCCAGCUCCAGCAGUGAAGCCCCGCAUCAGGAGAUGGUGGGACCUGGCUCCUGUUGGGGCAAUGAGUAACAUCAUCACAUCUGACUGAACCUCUGGCAUGUAGACUUGACUACUUACUCUUGCUGCAGAAGCAUUUAUAUUGACACAGAUUCAGGAAGAUGCUGCACAGCAGAAUCAGGGAAACAACUGUUUUAUAAGCAGAGUGAUGCCUUCAUACAGCACAACAGUGUGAUCUGCGAUGGAAAACAUAACAGGACUGUAUUCCACAGCAAGGUCAUGUUUUGAGAAUUUUAUUCGUCCUCAUUUCUAUUAAAGUGUCUUUUUACAGGGAGAAAUAACUUCUUUUAGUUAUGCUGUAUUGCUCUUGAAACUUAACCUUCCUCUAGCUGGGCUCUAUAAAUCACGGAUUUUCUUAUAAACAGAUUACAGAUCCGCUUACAUCUUUGUAUUAUUUGGCUCCUUCAUUUCAGAAACAGUAUGGGCCAUAUUCUCCCCUGGCAUAGCUCCAUUCCCAGUAUUCUUAUUUUGAGGAUGCUGGGCCAGAUUCCUGAUCUCUCUGCUUUGUCAAUGGGCGCUAAGAGCCAUGCUGCUGCGAUCACUGCUGUCACAUAUCAGUAACACCACUCUGCUGCUGAGCAGAACAUAGCCCUCUGCUUAAACAGCACUUUGAUCAAGUGAAAUAAGGAAAAUAUUGCUGAAUGUAGCCUUCAGCAUAUUACUUGUUCUGCUGAAAGAUCAUCCGCUCUUGGCUUAGCUUAUUUCAAGCAUGACAGUCCAGGAAAAAGAGUGUACCUGUGAGUGAAAUAAGACUCAGUGGGAGUCAAUAAGACCCAAAGUAUUGCGGUAUUCAUAAAUGUAUAUUUGUGCUGAAGCAUGCUAAACCUCAAAGGCUGGAUAUAAAUAUCAAUGUCUAUUGAAUUUCAGGAAGAGAUGGCUGGUGGAAAGCAUGCCCGAUGCCGUUCUGCAAUGUGCAACCCUGUUUACACAGGGGCUAUUCAUAGGCACGUUCCUGCUGCUGGGCAGGGAAUUUGCCUCUUCCCAGCCAGCUCAUGCAAAGCAAAUUCUCCUCUAUAGUUCUCAGGCUGGAAAUUUAGCUUCCCUUGAAGUAAAGCAGCAGUGCUGUGCUUCCAUGCAAGCGAUGGGCCAGCUGAAGGUGCGGGACAAGGAGCUGCCCAAAACCUGCCAAAGGACAAAAGCAGCUUCAUAAAGGCAGAGGUCAAAAUGGCACUGAUGUCUCCUUGUGAUCAAAUGCAGGCUGCACUUCUUUAAUCAGAAAAUGUGCCACAGUUGGAAUCCGGCAAAAUGAAUUCUAAGCACGUCCCUUCUGCAGCCAGUUUUCCUUCUGCCCACUGGGACAGUGGAGAGAUGACACAGUUCAGAAGUAAACCCACAGCACGGAUUUGUGAUUCUGUCAGAUUGGAUUCUCCUUCCCCACUCCUGGACUUGCUCUGGAGGUCUCUAGGCUUUAUGAAGCUGUAAUGGACAAGGAGAGCACUGGGGAAUUAAAGCCCACCUGCCUCCUGCUAUCCCCUUUCAGGGCUUUUUGGACUGGUGCUUCCUGGAGCUAGUGAGAUCCAUUCAUGAAAGGUGCUGAAUGGCAAACACAAAAGUCCAGAAAGAGUAGUUGUCUUAGGAGUUAUCGAGAACAGUGCCUACUACUUGACAAGCUGCAGAGAAAGUAAAGCCAGAAAAUGCCCACAUUGAGAACAAAGCUGAUGUGACGACUGAGUGCCUGAGAAUGGCACCAAUGGGAAGAGCUCAGCACGGC